RNAcentral lists this small nuclear RNA (107 nucleotides) under Castor canadensis (American beaver). The record is from RNAcentral. Lineage: Eukaryota; Metazoa; Chordata; Mammalia; Rodentia; Castoridae.
AUGCUUGCUUCAGCAGCACAUAUACUAAAAUAGGAACAAUACAAAGAAGAUUAGCAUGGUCCCUGAACAAGGAUGACACACAAAUUCAUGAAGUGUUCCCUAUUAAA